UUCGAACAUAGGUGUCUCCGAAGCAUUGCUCGAGUAUCGUGGGACAACCGAGUGAGCAAUGCUGUCGUUAGGAAAAGGGGUUCUAG
Molecule: non-coding RNA, 86 nt
Filed under: Schistosoma japonicum
Lineage: Eukaryota; Metazoa; Platyhelminthes; Trematoda; Strigeidida; Schistosomatidae
Source: RNAcentral